RNAcentral lists this ribosomal RNA (673 nucleotides) under Inosperma maximum. Its description in RNAcentral is "eukaryotic LSU rRNA". It matches the Rfam family "Eukaryotic large subunit ribosomal RNA", at positions 1 to 653 of the family's 3401-position model. Lineage: Eukaryota; Fungi; Basidiomycota; Agaricomycetes; Agaricales; Inocybaceae. The record is from RNAcentral.
UUGACCUCAAAUCAGGUAGGACCACCCGCUGAACUUAAGCAUAUCAAUAAGCGGAGGAAAAGAAACUAACAAGGAUUCCCUUAGUAACUGCGAGUGAAGAGGGAAAAGCUCAAAUUUGUAAUCUGGCAGCCUUUGGCCGUCCGAGUUGUAAUCUAGAGAAGUGCUACCUGCGCUGGACCAUGUACAAGUCUCCUGGAAUGGAGCAUCAUAGAGGGUGAGAAUCCCGUCUUUGACAUGGACUGCCAGAGCUUUAUAGGUGCGCUCUCAAAGAGUCGAGUUGUUUGGGAAUGCAGCUCAAAAUGGGUGGUAAAUGCCAUCUAAAGCUAAAUAUUGGCGAGAGACCGAUAGCGAACAAGUACCGUGAGGGAAAGAUGAAAAGAACUUUGGAAAGAGAGUUAAACAGUACGUGAAAUUGCUGAAAGGGAAACGCUUGAAGUCAGUCGCAUCAGUUGGAAAUCAACCUCGCUUUUGCUCGGUGUACUUUCCGUCUGAUGGGUCAGCAUCAAUUUUGAUCGCUGGAUAAAGUUCUUGGGAACGUGGCAUCUUUGGAUGUGUUAUAGCCCUUGGACAUAUACAGUGGUUGGGAUUGAGGAACUCAGCACGCCGCAAGGCUGGGGGCUUGUCCCACAACACGUGCUUAGGAUGCUGGCAUAAUGGCUUUAAUCGACCCGUC